Molecule: ribosomal RNA, 292 nt
Filed under: uncultured bacterium
Lineage: Bacteria
Description: partial 16S ribosomal RNA
Rfam family: Archaeal small subunit ribosomal RNA
Source: RNAcentral
GUGCCGCAGCCGCGGUAAUACCGGCAGCCCAAGUGAUGGCCGAUCUUAUUGGGCCUAAAGCGUCCGUAGCUGGCCGCGCAAGUCCAUCGGAAAAUCCACCCGCCCAACGGGUGGGCGUCCGGUGGAAACUGCGUGGCUUGGGACCGGAAGGCGCGACGGGUACGUCCGGGGUAGGAGUGAAAUCCCGUAAUCCUGGACGGACCGCCGAUGGCGAAAGCACGUCGCGAAGACGGAUCCGACAGUGAGGGACGAAAGCUAGGGUCUCGAACCGGAUUAGAAACCCUUGUAGUCC